AAUAGAUACCCAGGUAGUCCACGCCGUAAACGUUGGGAACUAGGUGUGGGUCUCAUUCCACGAGAUCCGUGCCGCAGCUAACGCAUUAAGUUCCCCGCCUGGGGAGUACGGCCGCAAGGCUAAAACUCAAAGGAAUUGACGGGGGCCCGCACAAGCGGCGGAGCAUGCGGAUUAAUUCGAUGCAACGCGAAGAACCUUACCAAGGCUUGACAUGAACCGGACCGCUGCAGAAAUGUGGUUUCCCCUUUGGGGCUGGUUUACAGGUGGUGCAUGGUUGUCGUCAGCUCGUGUCGUGAGAUGUUGGGUUAAGUCCCGCAACGAGCGCAACCCUCGUUUUGUGUUGCCAUUUUAGGGAAACUCAAAAGACUGCCGGUGAGAAGCCGGAGGAAGGUGAGGAUGACGUCAAGUCAGCAUGCCCCUUAGUCCUGGGCGACACACGUGCUACAAUGGCCGGGACAAAGAGAUGCAAAUCCCGCGAGGGUUAGCCAACCUCAAAAACCCGGGUCUCAGUUCGGAUUGCAGGCUGCAACUCGCCUGCAUG
Molecule: ribosomal RNA, 541 nt
Filed under: uncultured bacterium
Lineage: Bacteria
Description: bacterial SSU rRNA
Rfam family: Bacterial small subunit ribosomal RNA
Source: RNAcentral